RNAcentral lists this long non-coding RNA (1955 nucleotides) under Panthera leo (lion). RNAcentral's name for it is "lncRNA (ENSPLOG00000018689.1)". Lineage: Eukaryota; Metazoa; Chordata; Mammalia; Carnivora; Felidae. The record is from RNAcentral.
AUGGUGAUCAUGACAAAGAGGGUACAAAGAGGGAGGAUGCAGGCAGGUGUUGAAGGGAAGGUGGGGAUGAUGGUGUUGGUGAUGAUGAUCGGGUUGGUGGUGGUGGUCGUGAGUCAUGGUGAGAUGGUCAUGAUGACGAAAGGGUUGGCAGUGGUGGUCACCAUGGCCAUGAUGAUGAUGGUCAUGAUGACGACAGGGUUGGCGGUGGUGGUCACCAUGGCCAUGAUCAUGAUGGUCAUGAUGACAAUAGGGUUGGUGUUGGUGGUCACCAUGGCCAUGAUGAUGAUGGUGUUGUUGAUGAUGGUAGUGGUUAACAUGAUAGAGGAGGUAGGAUGUGGGCAGGUGUCAGGGACAAGCAUAGACAGAGGUGAUGGUGACGUGAAUGGUGACGAUGUGGUGAUCUUCUCUCAAACACGGAUGUAUCCACAGCCCACCUUGCGUUGCCUGAUGCAGCACCAGCUUUCCCAUUAUUUAACCCAAAAACCUUGGAGUUGAAGUUACUCAUAACUUAGUUCUCUAAGUCACUGUUGCAGACGGAAUGUCUGUGUCCCCUCCCCCCCUGCAAAAUUCACGUCUUUGAGACCUAAAUCCCAGUGUGACUGUAUUUGGAGACGAAGUUUCUAAGGAAGAAACAAACGUGAAAUGAGGUCCUAACGGUGAGGUCCUCAUCCAACAGAACCCCUUGUAAGUGUCCCUGUAGGAAGAGACAUGGGAGGACGCACCCUGUCCCCACCCCGACCCGUUCAGCUUGCACGUGAAGCCCACCUGAGGACACGAUGAGAAAAUGGCCAUCUGCGAAACAGGAAGCAAAGUCUCACCAGAAACCCAAUCAGCCCGCAUCCUGACCGCAGACCUUCAGGGUCCAGAAUUGCCAGAGACCAAGGUCUGCGGUUUAAGCCGCCCACUCUGUGGCAAUGUCUCCCAGCGGCUCUACUGGGCUAAUACGGUCACUUUCACACAGCAAAUCGUCUCGGUUCAACCUCCAAAUGGUCCCAGAAGUCGAGCACCCGGUAAGAUGUCCCCGAUUCUAAACACCACCAUCCACCACAUCCUCAAGGGUGCAUGCUCCCAAGCCUCUGCCCCCGACAAGCCCCAACAAGAACCUCUGAACCCAUGGGAGACGUGGUCACAGCUGAAGAUCCUGCAGCCCCUCCCCCAGUGCUCACACCCGGCCAGCCCUGCUCUGUGCCUUCCGGUCCCGGCUUGCCCAGCCCCACACCGGCCACAGUGACCUCCUUAGAGCUUCUGGAACACGUGCACGGGGCCUCGAGGUGGCCCUGGGGUUCCAGAGCACAUUCUGGGCCGGCAGCAUCGCUGGGGACUUGUGAGGAAUGCAGAGUCACGGGCUCCAGCUCAAGGGAGGGGACCCAGGAAAAAUCUCCAGGGCGGGGCCAGCAUCGGCCCUGCAGGGGAUGGUGACGCGGCCCAAGCCUGAAGACCAGCCACGGUGCCCACGGUCUUGUCCGCAAGGGAGCCCCUGCCUCACCUUCCAGGAUUCGAUCAAACAUCUCCUGGGAACGGCGGACCGCACGGUGCCCUCCACGUGCCAGCAUGGCCCGCCCCCGCCUCCCGUGGCCCCGAUCCCACGGCGCUGCUCUCUCCUCCCGCCAAUGGUACCCACCGUGCACCCGUCUCAGCGCAGCGUAAACUCGAGCUGAGUCGUCUAUGACCUCCCAUGUCCGGAGGCAGGGGCUGGGGGAGGGGGAUGGAGGGAGUUACGCACUGACGCAGAUCAAUGUUUGUGUCCCCGCCGUGCCCCCCAGCUUCAUGGCAUUCACAUUUGCUGUUGGGCCUUCGGGACGUGUUUACAUUAGGCGAGGUUGUGACGCUGGGGUCCCCCCGGGGCUGCGAUGAGCUCCCUUAUACAAGCUCCCUUAUAGGAGCUGCCCUUAUAGGGCAGCGGGAGCAGGAUUAGGGCCAAGUUGGGGGAAGCAAGAGCGCGGGAGAAAGUCCUA